UUACUAUAUGUACUGAUAUUGGCGUAAGAGCUCGUAGGCGGUUUGUCGCGUCUGCUGUGAAAGACCGGGGCUCAACUCCGGUUCUGCAGUGGGUACGGGCAGACUAGAGUGCAGUAGGGGAGACUGGAAUUCCUGGUGUAGCGGUGAAAUGCGCAGAUAUCAGGAGGAACACCGAUGGCGAAGGCAGGUCUCUGGGCUGUAACUGACGCUGAGGAGCGAAAGCAUGGGGAGCGAACAGGAUUAGAUACCCUGGUAGUCCAUGCCGUAAACGUUGGGCACUAGGUGUGGGGGACAUUCCACGUUUUCCGCGCCGUAGCUAACGCAUUAAGUGCCCCGCCUGGGGAGUACGGCCGCAAGGCUAAAACUCAAAGGAAUUGACGGGGGCCCGCACAAGCGGCGGAGCAUGCGGAUUAAUUCGAUGCAACGCGAAGAACCUUACCAAGGCUUGACAUGAACCGGUAAUACCUGGAAACAGGUGCCCCGCUUGCGGUCGGUUUACAGGUGGUGCAUGGUUGUCGUCAGCUCGUGUCGUGAGAUGUUGGGUUAAGUCCCGCAACGAGCGCAACCCUCGUUCUAUGUUGCCAGCGGUUCGGCCGGGGACUCAUAGGAGACUGCCGGGGUCAACUCGGAGGAAGGUGGGGACGACGUCAAAUCAUCAUGCCCCUUAUGUCUUGGGCUUCACGCAUGCUACAAUGGCCGGUACAAAGGGUUGCGAUACUGUGAGGUGGAGCUAAUCCCAAAAAGCCGGUCUCAGUUCGGAUUGGGGUCUGCAACUCGACCCCAUGAAGUCGGAGUCGCUAGUAAUCGCAGAUCAGCAACGCUGCGGUGAAUACGUUCCCGGGCCUUGUACACACCGCCCGUCAAGUCACGAAAGUUGGUAACACCCGAAGCCGGUGGCCUAACCCUUGUGGGGGGGAGGCCGUCGAAGGUGGGACCGGCGGAUUGGGACUAAGUCGGUACAAAGGUAACA
RNAcentral lists this ribosomal RNA (970 nucleotides) under Arthrobacter sp. RNAcentral describes it as "bacterial SSU rRNA". It matches the Rfam family "Bacterial small subunit ribosomal RNA". The record is from RNAcentral. Lineage: Bacteria; Bacillati; Actinomycetota; Actinomycetes; Micrococcales; Micrococcaceae.